GGAGAGAUGGCCGAGUGGUUUAAGGCGCACGCUUGGAAAGUGUGUGUACUUUCAAAGGUACCGUGGGUUCGAAUCCCACUCUCUCCGCCA
This 90-nucleotide transfer RNA is filed under the name Candidatus Pelagibacter sp. Its description in RNAcentral is "tRNA-Ser". It matches the Rfam family "tRNA". Rfam says of the family: Transfer RNA (tRNA) molecules are approximately 80 nucleotides in length. Their secondary structure includes four short double-helical elements and three loops (D, anti-codon, and T loops). The record is from RNAcentral. Lineage: Bacteria; Pseudomonadati; Pseudomonadota; Alphaproteobacteria; Candidatus Pelagibacterales; Candidatus Pelagibacteraceae.